RNAcentral lists this ribosomal RNA (1477 nucleotides) under Klebsiella aerogenes. RNAcentral's name for it is "bacterial LSU rRNA". It matches the Rfam family "Bacterial large subunit ribosomal RNA", at positions 890 to 2347 of the family's 2925-position model. Lineage: Bacteria; Pseudomonadati; Pseudomonadota; Gammaproteobacteria; Enterobacterales; Enterobacteriaceae. The record is from RNAcentral.
UCAUCUUCGGGGGUAGAGCACUGUUUCGGCUAGGGGGUCAUCCCGACUUACCAACCCGAUGCAAACUACGAAUACCGAAGAAUGUUAUCACGGGAGACACACGGCGGGUGCUAACGUCCGUCGUGAAGAGGGAAACAACCCAGACCGCCAGCUAAGGUCCCAAAGUCACAGUUAAGUGGGAAACGAUGUGGGAAGGCACAGACAGCCAGGAUGUUGGCUUAGAAGCAGCCAUCAUUUAAAGAAAGCGUAAUAGCUCACUGGUCGAGUCGGCCUGCGCGGAAGAUGUAACGGGGCUAAACUGUGCACCGAAGCUGCGGCAGCGACACUAUGUGUUGUUGGGUAGGGGAGCGUUCUGUAAGCCUGCGAAGGUGGCCUGUGAGGGUUGCUGGAGGUAUCAGAAGUGCGAAUGCUGACAUAAGUAACGAUAAUGCGGGUGAAAAGCCCGCACGCCGGAAGACCAAGGGUUCCUGUCCAACGUUAAUCGGGGCAGGGUGAGUCGACCCCUAAGGCGAGGCCGAAAGGCGUAGUCGAUGGGAAACAGGUUAAUAUUCCUGUACUUGGUGUUACUGCGAAGGGGGGACGGAGAAGGCUAUGUUAGCCGGGCGACGGUUGUCCCGGUUUAAGCAUGUAGGCGGAGGUUCCAGGUAAAUCCGGUACCUUUUAACGCUGAGGUGUGAUGACGAGGCACUACGGUGCUGAAGUAACAAAUGCCCUGCUUCCAGGAAAAGCCUCUAAGCAUCAGGUAACAUUGAAUCGUACCCCAAACCGACACAGGUGGUCAGGUAGAGAAUACCAAGGCGCUUGAGAGAACUCGGGUGAAGGAACUAGGCAAAAUGGUGCCGUAACUUCGGGAGAAGGCACGCUGAUAUGUAGGUGAAGCCCCUGCGGGUGGAGCUGAGAUCAGUCGAAGAUACCAGCUGGCUGCAACUGUUUAUUAAAAACACAGCACUGUGCAAACACGAAAGUGGACGUAUACGGUGUGACGCCUGCCCGGUGCCGGAAGGUUAAUUGAUGGGGUUAUCCGUAAGGAGAAGCUCUUGAUCGAAGCCCCGGUAAACGGCGGCCGUAACUAUAACGGUCCUAAGGUAGCGAAAUUCCUUGUCGGGUAAGUUCCGACCUGCACGAAUGGCGUAAUGAUGGCCAGGCUGUCUCCACCCGAGACUCAGUGAAAUUGAACUCGCUGUGAAGAUGCAGUGUACCCGCGGCAAGACGGAAAGACCCCGUGAACCUUUACUAUAGCUUGACACUGAACAUUGAGCCUUGAUGUGUAGGAUAGGUGGGAGGCUUUGAAGCGUGGACGCCAGUCUGCGUGGAGCCAACCUUGAAAUACCACCCUUUAAUGUUUGAUGUUCUAACGUGGACCCGUAAUCCGGGUUGCGGACAGUGUCUGGUGGGUAGUUUGACUGGGGCGGUCUCCUCCCAAAGAGUAACGGAGGAGCACGAAGGUUAGCUAAUCCUGGUCGGACAUCAGGAGGUU